RNAcentral lists this long non-coding RNA (800 nucleotides) under Phascolarctos cinereus (koala). Its description in RNAcentral is "lncRNA (ENSPCIG00000036739.1)". The record is from RNAcentral. Lineage: Eukaryota; Metazoa; Chordata; Mammalia; Diprotodontia; Phascolarctidae.
GCUCCCUCAGGAACCAGGCCAGCCCCCCAGCCAGCAGAGAUGAGCCUGCCAAGGGAAUGUGCUGACUGCGCAGGAACACUGGAGAAGCCACCCCCUCGCUCUGAGGACCGGCACUUUCUGGGGGGCCAGGACUCCUGGAGCCUCUAAUAGGAUGGCUUUAACAUUUUUCUUUUAGAAAGAAAUCUCCUCUUGUCCUAUCUUCCCUGGAGAUGGAAGAAAUCCUGGAAUCCUAGAAUCCUCCCAGUCCUCACUCCCUCUCAACAUUCAGUUCAGUCCAGUUCUAGCCAAUGAACAUUUAUGAAGCAUCUACCAAGUACAAUCUACAAAGACGAAAACCACUUGGAUUCCAGCUCCUUAGCAAGAGAUGUGAGGGUGACCAGGAGAUUCCAUGAGAUGAGGACAUCUACCCUCAAGAAAGUAGUUUUGGGCACCUAUGGUUUUGUAAGACCCUCUCUCUCUCUUUUUUUUUCUUUGUCCAGACCUUCAACUUCAUCAUGGUAAGGAACUCCUCAGGCAGACACUUCCUUCACUGAUGCUGAUCAGUCACUCAUAGUCUAAAGAGCUGACUAGGUUAGUUAUUGAGAGGUUAAGUGACUUGUCUAGGGUCACACUGCCAUCAUAAUCAGAUUUGAACUCAGCUCUUUCUGACUCCAAGGCUAGUGGUCCAUCUACAAUGCCACGUUGCUCCCUGCAAAGUACUCUGGACAGUAAAAAUGAGACAAGACAUACUGUCUAUGUGCUGAGAUAGGGCAUGUGUAUACACACAAAAAAAUAAAUAAAUAAACUCACAAUCUCUAACA